RNAcentral lists this transfer RNA (76 nucleotides) under Rhodoferax sp. Its description in RNAcentral is "tRNA-Val". It matches the Rfam family "tRNA". Rfam says of the family: Transfer RNA (tRNA) molecules are approximately 80 nucleotides in length. Their secondary structure includes four short double-helical elements and three loops (D, anti-codon, and T loops). Further hydrogen bonds mediate the characteristic L-shaped molecular structure. tRNAs have two regions of fundamental functional importance: the anti-codon, which is responsible for specific mRNA codon recognition, and the 3' end, to which the tRNAs corresponding amino acid is attached (by aminoacyl-tRNA synthetases). tRNAs cope with the degeneracy of the genetic code in two manners: having more than one tRNA (with a specific anti-codon) for a particular amino acid; and 'wobble' base-pairing, i.e. permitting non-standard base-pairing at the 3rd anti-codon position. The record is from RNAcentral. Lineage: Bacteria; Pseudomonadati; Pseudomonadota; Betaproteobacteria; Burkholderiales; Comamonadaceae. RNAcentral also lists the same sequence under 8 other names.
GGGUUGUUAGCUCAGUUGGUAGAGCGUCUCGUUUACACCGAGAAUGUCGGCGGUUCGAGCCCGUCACGACCCACCA